RNA transcript from Eriocheir sinensis (Chinese mitten crab), 3702 nucleotides. It is a transcript of the gene named COMM domain-containing protein 2-like, with no coding region annotated. The record is from RefSeq and is a predicted model, not a curated record. NCBI's taxonomy places the organism in Eukaryota, Metazoa, Arthropoda, Malacostraca, Decapoda, Varunidae. The transcript has 5 exons.
ACGUAAGUAAACAAACAUCAGCUGAUCGGCGGCAAGGGGGAGGAGGAAGGCAACGAAGGGGAAAAGGAGACGAAGGAACAAAAACUAAAGAAAAUUAAUCAAAGAAAAGAAGGAAGAAGAGUGAAGUAGUGAAUUAACGAACAAAUAACAGAAGAACAGAAGACAGGACAGUGAAAUAACGAGGCAAAGAGAAAAAUAGCGUAAGGGGGAGGAGACGGAGGGGCGAAAGUAUCAAAGGAAAGACGAAACAGCAAGAAAUAACGUAAAAUAAAAAGACAAGGAAGUGAAAUAACGUAGUAAAGAGAAAAAAUAACGUAAGAGGGAGCAAAAAUAACGAAGGUGAGAAAAAUAACAAAGGGGAGGAGAGACGAAACAGCAGGAUAGUGACUUUGCGAGGAAAUAACGUAAAAUAAUUAGACAAGGAAGUGAAAUAACAAAGUACAGAGGAAAAUAACGUAAAAAGGGAGGGGACGGAAGAGCGAAGUUACAAGGAAAAUCACCGAAGAAAAGGAGACAACAGCAAAAUAGUGAAGUUACAAGCAAAUAACAAGGAAGAGACAGGAGAGUGAAACAGCAACGUGAGAGUAAGCAAGUGGAAGGAGGAAGACUGAGCAGUGAAAUAGCAAACAGGGGAGGAGACAAGAGCAAAACAGUGAAGAUACAAGUAAAAAAGACAGCAGAGGAGAAAACCAGGGGACUAAAAACGGCAAAAUAGUGAAGUUACGAGCAAAUAACAAGAGAGACAGGGGUGGAACAGCAAUAGGGAGGAGGAAGACUAAGCACUGAAAUAACAAAUACAAGAGGAGACGGAAGAGCAAAAUAGUGAAAAUACAAGCAAAAAACAGCAGAGGAGAAAACUAGAUGGAAAGGUAGUUAGAGGAGGAUAGUUUAGUGGAUAUAGAUGGAGCAGGAUAGAUAGACAGAGGAGGAUAGCCUGACUAAAAAAACACCAAAAUCACCAUCAAAUAUCAUAAACAGAGAAAACUAACAAAAGGAAAGGAAGCUAAACAGCAGAAUAACAAAAUCACACAAUAUACAAGACAACCAAGAGAAGACAAAGGGACAUCAUCAUCAAAAUCACGACCAAACAACACAAACGCACGCCACAAAAACCGUGGUAAUGGCUCCGAUAGCACUGCCGGAGGAGCUGAAGGGGCGGCUGGCGUUGCUGGUGGCGCAGGAGACAGCCGUGGUGAGGGAGUUCUGUCGCCUCACCAGCCAGUACUUCAGGCAGGAGGUGAAGCCUAAGGUGUUUACAUCGGCUGCCAACAAGCUCGGCGCCCAGCCAUCGCAGGUAGAGGACGCAGUACAAGCAUUAGUGUUCCUCCUGAUUCGCUGUGGUCAGGUCAACCCCACCACUGAAGAUCUGCAUGGCCUCUCCACCUCCCUGGGCUUCUCCGAGGACGCCGCCAAGGUCAUCGCCGACACCUACACCGACAACGAGGCGGAGGUCAAGGAGUACCUCAAGGCUUCUGGGGUCAAGGUGUCACAGUACAAGGACCUGGAGUGGAGGUUUGAUGUCCUAGUGGGUUCUCGCUCCCUCCACCACGUCGCUGAGCCGCUCCUCACCCUGCAGCUCACCCUGGACACACCAAACUCUGAUUCCACGCGCAAGGAGGGGAUUCACGAGGGACAGGACGGAGGCAUUGGUGAGGGGGGUGGAUGCGAGACACUCCUGCUGCAGACCGACCCCAACAACCUCCUGCACAUGACCUCGGUGCUGGAGGACGCGCUGCAGGAGGCUCGGACGCACCACUCUCGCCGCGUCCAGAGAUACCUCAAGUAGCUGCGUGUGGUGGGGUGUGGCGUAAUGGGGUGGUUUCAUAGUCCGACACGAGUUAUCAUUUACACUCAUAUGGAAGUACAUUUUCGAUAAUUCUCUUUUUCUAUGCAGUGCUCGAUAUUAAAGUGAUUUCCUGUGUGGUUUCAAAGUCCGACAGAAAUUAUCAUUGGCACUCAAACUGAAGUAUAUAUGCCAUGAUUCUCUUUUUCUAUGCAGCGCUCGAUAAUAAAACAAAACAAAGUGCUUUCCGGUGUGGUUUUAUCAAGUUAAUUACAUUCUACAUCAAGGGAAUACACUAAGUGAAUCUGCGAUGCUCAAACAGAAGUAUAUAUUUCCAUAAUUCUCUUUUUCUUUGUAGUGCUCGAAACUAAAGUGAUUCCCUGUGUGGUUUUAUCAAAUUUCUUAGCUUCUACAUCAAGGCCAAACACUAAUUGAAUCUGGGGUCUCUUGGUAGGGCAGUGAGCGUGUUAUCCCCUCCAUUACGAAGCCCUGUGUUUGCAUGUUAGUGUGUGUGAUUGUGCAACUAAUGAUACUCCGAAAUCUUGUUGCGUUGGGUUACUUGUUGCUUAGGUUGGAAACUGGGAGAACGCUCAUGAGACAGUAAGGAAGCAUGCCCCGAGAGAGAGGUCAAUGGGGUUUCUGAUUAGCACUCGCAUCAGGAUGAAAGCUACGGUUGGAAAGUGGAAGGAGACGCCCGUAUGAGAAAGUAAGGAAGUCCAAGAGAGAGGUCAAUGGGCUUUUCUGAUUAGUACUCGCAUCAGGACGAAAGCUACGAUUGGAAAGUGGAAGGAGACGCCCAUAUGUCCCCUCUACACCUGGGAGUCAAACUUGGACCUCUCAGUUGCGAGGUGAACGUGCUAGCCAUUGUGCCAUGAAGCUGUGUGUGUGUGUGUGUGUGUGCGUGUGUGUAAGUAACGAUAUUCCAGAUUCUUGUUUCAUUGGGUUAUGUUCAUUCCAGGUCUUGGGUGUUACUUUAUACAAUGUUUUGAUGCCUUCACGAGAAUGCAGCGGCCCGUGUCUUCCCUAGAUUCUGACAUUCCAUUACUGAUUAAACCUCCUCACUGCCUCACUGCAACAAGACUCGGAAGUGUUAGAAAUAAGGAAGGAUUAGCACACUGCAACAAGACUCGGAAGUGUUAGAAAUAAGGAAGGAUUAGCACACUGCAACAAGACUCGGAAGUGUUAGCACUGGACUGAGCAAGAUGGAGGAGGAUCAUUGGAAGUCCAGCGCUUAGAAUGGGAGACGAUGGACUAUACUAUAAAUGUAGAAGAAAAAGAAGAAGACUGUCCUCCCUGUUUCCCUUCACUACAUAGAUGAAAAAUAUGUAUCGGACCAACGUUAAGUCUUAGUUUGAUAGUUAAGUGUUGUAUGGGAGGACGGAAGACUCUCUAGUUACAGAGGUAGGUGCCAAAGACAUUCAAGCAUAAUGGAAGUGUUAUUUGAUAGAGAUUUUUCGAUUUGGGACUGGUGGGGCUGUGUGUGUGUGUGUGUGUGUGUGUGUGUGUUUUAUGGUGGAAAUGACAGGUUGUGUGAAAGAGAUUGCCCUCUACGAUUUAUUAAAGUAAAGAAAAUAGAAUGAAAUGUGUGUGUGUGUGUGUGUGUGUGCUUGUGUGAGUGUGUUUUAUGGUGGAAAUGACAGGUUGUGUGAAAGAGAUUGCCCUCUACGAUUUAUUAAAGUAAAGAAAAUGGAAUGAAAUGUGUGUGUGUGUAGUCAAUUCAAAGGUGUGUUAAAAUGAAAUCCUCAAAUGUAAACGCCCUUAAUGUCGGAUCUGCAGUACUGUUUUCCUUUAGAAUGCCCUGAUUAUCUCUAAGGUGAUUGUUUACCUCUGCAUGACAAAACAAGCCUGACUGACAACUGCAAAAACUAUGUACACUAUGAUUUUUGUAAACAUGAAAGAAAGAAAAGUUUUUGAAAAUG